UAACCUAUUUUAAAAAAAAUUUCAUUUAAUUAUAACAGAUAACCGCUCACAAUCACCCUUUAUUAUAAACCCAACUAUAUUAUAGAGUCAAUAACGGAGAGCGAAGAAGAAGAAGCCUCAGAUAAGUGGCAG
Molecule: non-coding RNA, 132 nt
Organism: Populus trichocarpa (black cottonwood)
Lineage: Eukaryota; Viridiplantae; Streptophyta; Magnoliopsida; Malpighiales; Salicaceae
Source: Rfam